This 86-nucleotide small nucleolar RNA is filed under the name Eutrema salsugineum. RNAcentral's name for it is "Small nucleolar RNA Z161/Z228". It matches the Rfam family "Small nucleolar RNA Z161/Z228". From Rfam's summary of the family: Z161 and Z228 are members of the C/D class of snoRNA which contain the C (UGAUGA) and D (CUGA) box motifs. The record is from Rfam by way of RNAcentral. Lineage: Eukaryota; Viridiplantae; Streptophyta; Magnoliopsida; Brassicales; Brassicaceae.
AAAUCAAGUGAUGAGAUUGGAUCUAAAAUUCUCACGACGGUCGUCUGAUUCUAAUGAUGUACCGAUCCUAAUACUCUCUGAUGAUA